This 109-nucleotide microRNA precursor is filed under the name Chlorocebus sabaeus (green monkey). RNAcentral's name for it is "microRNA 200b (ENSCSAG00000019839.1)". The stretch from base 26 to 92 matches the Rfam family "mir-8/mir-141/mir-200 microRNA precursor family". Rfam says of the family: The bounds of the precursors are predicted based on conservation and base pairing and are not generally known. The record is from RNAcentral. Lineage: Eukaryota; Metazoa; Chordata; Mammalia; Primates; Cercopithecidae.
GGCCCCAGACCCAGCUCGGGCAGCCGUGGCCAUCUUACUGGGCAGCAUUGGAUGGAGUCAGGUCUCUAAUACUGCCUGGUAAUGAUGACGGCGGGGCCCUGCACGCAGC